This 253-nucleotide ribosomal RNA is filed under the name uncultured bacterium. RNAcentral describes it as "partial 16S ribosomal RNA". It matches the Rfam family "Bacterial small subunit ribosomal RNA", at positions 524 to 776 of the family's 1533-position model. The record is from RNAcentral.
UACAGAGGUCUCAAGCGUUGUUCGGAUUCAUUGGGCGUAAAGGGUGCGUAGGUGGCGCUGUAAGUCAGGUGUGAAAUUUCGGAGCUUAACUCCGAAACUGCAUUUGAUACUGCGGUGCUUGAGGACUGGAGAGGAGACUGGAAUUUACGGUGUAGCAGUGAAAUGCGUAGAUAUCGGGAGGAACAUCAGUGGCGAAGGCGGCUACCUGGCCCAAUACUGACACUCAGGUGCGACAGCGUGGGGAGCAAACAGG